Molecule: long non-coding RNA, 902 nt
Organism: Callithrix jacchus (white-tufted-ear marmoset)
Lineage: Eukaryota; Metazoa; Chordata; Mammalia; Primates; Cebidae
Source: RefSeq, a predicted model, not a curated record
CCCCAGAGAGUGUACACAAAUUCACUCAGAAUGGCCAAGGGAAUAUAACAAAUGCAUGUUCCACCCAGGUUGCCAGGAUACUUGAGGAAUCAAAGCUGGUGGUGGAGCUGUACAGCAAAGAUGUUCAAGUGAAGGCCUCGGGAGAUGGAGAUGCUAAGAGUCCAAUGCCAGAUGAUGGAGCAACAGCUUUGCUGCUUUUCAAGAUAAGAGCAAAGAAGCUAAAUCUCAGAGCGCACCUCAAUUUGGACUGGCCAUAUUUCAAGGGCUGGAGCCCACUGUAUUGAACCGCACAAGGCUAGAGGGUGCACAUCAGGCCUGCCUGACAAGGCCUCCCCUGGUUGAGAGGGGCAAGACAUCUGAGACUCAUCUCUACGGCUCCCAGCACCAUGCCUAGCACAUGGAAGCCUGGGCCCAGCUGUUCUUCAAGGUUACAAUAAUAGUGGCAAACACUAACCCACACAGAGACACUAAGCUGUCGAAGCAUGACCACUUCUACUAUCUUGAUGGCUUCCUACAGUAAUGGGAAUGCUGACUUCCAGCAGAGAAUCAGGAUAGAAUACAACACCCCUGCUUGAGGUCCACCCAGGGGCUACUCUGUUUGUGACAAUAUAGAAAUGAGAACAGGGAAGCAUGGUCUAUCCUUGCAUUUGGAGAUAUUCUCUGCAGAUGUUUUGAUCCUCUUGAAAACAAGAGUCAAGCCACGGCGAUGUUCAGACUUCAGAUCACAAAUGCUCAUGAAUUCAUGAGUAGUAACUGAUCAACAGGAUCCAAAUCUAAAAACGUAUGGAUUCAUUAAAAUCAUUUCCUAAGUAAGAUUAAAGUAGUGGGCAUGUCAGUGGUAGCAAGCACCUCAUUUCUUCCUGGGUUUUAGAGGGAUAUAAACUUCAUCCCCUCACCUGAUU